GGUUUAUAAUUUUAUACGUACAUACGAGGGUAUUCUGGAUACAAAGUCUAUUUAAUUAAAUAAAGUUUUAAAAGAAACAGAAAAGGGAGUGUGUGCAUAUAAAAAAGGCAGUGGAACGGGGUGUAUAUAGUAGGAGCUACCACGUUUGAAAUGUCUAGAAAAUUUUUUAUUCAACCCAAUAAGUUGGGCCGUGUUACAUGCCAUCACACGUGAAAAACAAAACAUUUUUUGUUUUCUAUUUGUCUCCUCCUUCAACUUCUGGUUGUGGAAAAUUUGCACCUCCCGACAAUGAGAAUUGACGCACACUAACAUUCCAUAACUCAUUUCCCUUUCAUGAACACUAACUAACUAUUGCAGGAAGAAAACCGAGACUGGAAUAUACGUGGCACAAGGAAGAUAACAGUUUCUAAAUAAUACACAUUCACAUCAACAAACACAAAAAUUCAAAUUCAAGGUGGACUGUUUUGACCUUAAGCACAGAAUUUUCAGCAACUUCAUGUUAUUCAACCACAAUAGCAGUACCCUACUUUGACCUACAAUGAGAUACAAAUGGAAGGAAUGAGGUGCAGUGACAAGGGUGUCAAGCAUUUUAAACUCCAGUCAAAAUUGAAACCUAAAAGUUGAUAGGUAUAAUUUUAGGAAUAUAAGAAAGAUUAGGAUGCAGAAAGAAGCAAUGAGUUAUACACACUCAACUAUUUAAUUUGAAAUUCCUCUAAUUUUUAGGCAAAGUUCAUUAUUCGUCAAUUUUCUAAUAAAAAACACUAAUUUAAUGAGUCAACUGAUGCUGUUUUCUUAAACCAGCUAAUGGAAAAAUUUAGGUAAGAUAUCCCAUGUUAAGAAAUUUUGAACCAAUGUAUGGAAUCUUUAUAAUGUUACAGUUUCCAAAUUUGUGUGCCAACAUAAUUGACAAUUAAAUAUUUUUACAAAGUAUUAAUUGGUCAUUAAUUUAAUUAAAUGUGAAAAUCUGAGUGACCUAACCUCUUUUUUGUAGAUGUAGUUCGUGGAGCCUGACAAUAUAGACAUAAUUAUCCUGUGAGUAUUAGUGUGAUUCUCUCUAUCUUCAUAACAUGAUAAAAUUUCUAACUUUUUACCAUUAUAGGUAGUUUGUUAUAGUCAUAAACAAAACAUGGAUUUAAUAUUGAAGGAAAAAAAAUGGAAAGAACAUGACCAGACCUGCAUUGAACUCGUUAGCCAUCAAAUUAAUCUGUAGAUAGAUCAAAAUAAUCCUAAUAUAAUCAAUCACUUUCAUGAAAAAGUUGAUAAAUAGUUUCUCUGAAGAAUUCUGGAUGAAUAAAGCGGUAUAGGAUAUAUACAAGAAAAAAAAAAUAAUGUACCGACAACCUGAAGGAGAAUUAACAGGCAAACCUUAUUCUUCUUGAAAAGAUUUUUUUGCGAAUGAAAAUUAAAAUUCUCCAGCAGGAGAAAACCGCCAAAGUUGACCCAGCCAGCAGCAUAAACCUUCCUUGUCUGGAAAAUUAGGGAGAACAGGAAAACGAAACGGCGUCGUGGACGCUGGUUGUCAGCGCACACAGGAAUCAAACUUGAAACAGUAUACACGGUUUGGUGUUUGGAAGAAUGUGAGAAGCAAAAGAAAAUUGAAUAAGGAAUGGCUAGGUGGCAGAAGGCACGUGGGUGUGGGCCCGAGGAAGUGGCGCGUGAAUCGCAGACGGAUGAAAUGGGAUUAGAAGUUAUGGAGUUGUUGAAUGAAUGAUGAGUGUUGAUAGGAGAGAGAAAGGAAGAUCAAAUGAAGUGAGGAUGACCACAUCUAAAUCCACAUGGCGGGUUCUCGACCCGGUGAUUCAAAUCGG
This 1808-nucleotide long non-coding RNA is filed under the name Vigna radiata. RNAcentral's name for it is "long non-coding RNA (VRAD_LNC004272)". The record is from RNAcentral. Lineage: Eukaryota; Viridiplantae; Streptophyta; Magnoliopsida; Fabales; Fabaceae.